AGUGACAGACGCCGCAUAAGCAUUUUUUAUCUGGUUUCGUUUAAUUGUAUUUCUGAAACUUCAAAAUGGACCGAAAAACAAUUCGUAAGAAUAUCUACUGGACCCUUGAUUUGGAAACGAAGAUUGCGAAACUCGGCAGGAAGGAAGCCAAAAUUGAAUAUUUAGAGAAGAGUAUUAUUUCGUUUCAACUUGAGGAAAAAGCUUUAUUGAAAUGCGAACGGUCUCUUGCCAUCCUUGAUGGUGAUUUAGACGACGGCUCCACGCGAUGCCCAAGGCGCAGCUCGAGGCUCAGGGAAAAGCAUCAGGCGCAGCAAAAGGGCGAGUAGGACAACGACGUAAGCAACGAGUGCGAAGGCGAAGACAACCAAAACCCGCCUGGUUCUGGACCCUUCGACCCUUCCAAUUGCGAUGCGGCUUCGAGCCUAUGCUCUGGCCACACAACCACUAGAACACAACCACCACUUACACCAAGAGAUUAUUGAAAUAGCAACACAUCACCCCACCUACUCCAUUGUUACAAUAAACAUGAACUAUUAAAAGUUA
Molecule: long non-coding RNA, 543 nt
Organism: Drosophila guanche
Lineage: Eukaryota; Metazoa; Arthropoda; Insecta; Diptera; Drosophilidae
Exons: 2
Source: RefSeq, a predicted model, not a curated record